Molecule: ribosomal RNA, 392 nt
Filed under: uncultured bacterium
Lineage: Bacteria
Description: bacterial SSU rRNA
Rfam family: Bacterial small subunit ribosomal RNA
Source: RNAcentral
AUUGAACGCUGGCGGCAUGCCUUACACAUGCAAGUCGAACGGUAACGCGGGGGCAACCCUGGCGACGAGUGGCGAACGGGUGAGUAAUAUAUCGGAACGUGCCCUAGAGUGGGGGAUAACGUAGCGAAAGUUACGCUAAUACCGCAUACGAUCUACGGAUGAAAGUGGGGGAUCGCAAGACCUCAUGCUCGUGGAGCGGCCGAUAUCUGAUUAGCUAGUUGGUAAGGGAAAAGCCUACCAAGGCGACGAUCAGUAGCUGGUCUGAGAGGACGACCAGCCACACUGGGACUGAGACACGGCCCAGACUCCGUACGGGAGGCAGCAGUGGGGUAAUUUUGGACAAGUGGGGGCAACCCUGAUCCAGCAAUGCCGCGUGUGUGAAGAAGGCCUGG